RNAcentral lists this transfer RNA (72 nucleotides) under Minisyncoccota bacterium. RNAcentral describes it as "tRNA-Arg". It matches the Rfam family "tRNA". From Rfam's summary of the family: Transfer RNA (tRNA) molecules are approximately 80 nucleotides in length. Their secondary structure includes four short double-helical elements and three loops (D, anti-codon, and T loops). Further hydrogen bonds mediate the characteristic L-shaped molecular structure. tRNAs have two regions of fundamental functional importance: the anti-codon, which is responsible for specific mRNA codon recognition, and the 3' end, to which the tRNAs corresponding amino acid is attached (by aminoacyl-tRNA synthetases). tRNAs cope with the degeneracy of the genetic code in two manners: having more than one tRNA (with a specific anti-codon) for a particular amino acid; and 'wobble' base-pairing, i.e. permitting non-standard base-pairing at the 3rd anti-codon position. The record is from RNAcentral. Lineage: Bacteria; Bacillati; Minisyncoccota.
GCCCCUGUCGUUCAACGGAUAGGACGGAGGUUUCCUAAACCUUAAAUCCAGGUUCGAUUCCUGGUGGGGGCA